This 311-nucleotide ribosomal RNA is filed under the name Comamonas sp. 16(2010). RNAcentral describes it as "bacterial SSU rRNA". It matches the Rfam family "Bacterial small subunit ribosomal RNA", at positions 202 to 505 of the family's 1533-position model. Lineage: Bacteria; Pseudomonadati; Pseudomonadota; Betaproteobacteria; Burkholderiales; Comamonadaceae. The record is from RNAcentral.
ACCUUCGGGCCUUGUGCUACUAGAGCGGCUGAUGGCAGAUUAGGUAGUUGGUGGGGUAAAAGCUUACCAAGCCUGCGAUCUGUAGCUGGUCUGAGAGGACGACCAGCCACACUGGGACUGAGACACGGCCCAGACUCCUACGGGAGGCAGCAGUGGGGAAUUUUGGACAAUGGGCGAAAGCCUGAUCCAGCAAUGCCGCGUGCAGGAUGAAGGCCCUCGGGUUGUAAACUGCUUUUGUACGGAACGAAAAGCCUGGGGCUAAUACCCUCGGGUCAUGACGGUACCGUAAGAAUAAGCACCGGCUAACUACG